Molecule: ribosomal RNA, 420 nt
Filed under: bacterium
Lineage: Bacteria
Description: partial 16S ribosomal RNA
Rfam family: Bacterial small subunit ribosomal RNA
Source: RNAcentral
UGGGGGAUAUUACACAAUGGGCGAAAGCCUGAUGCAGCGACGCCGCGUGGGGGAUGAAGGCUUUCGGGUUGUAAACCUCUUUCGCUAUCGAACAAGGCCCGCUUAGGGUGGGUUGAGGGUAGGUGGAGAAGAAGCGCCGGCUAACUACGUGCCAGCAGCCGCGGUAAUACGUAGGGCGCGAGCGUUGUCCGGAAUUAUUGGGCGUAAAGGGCUUGUAGGCGGCUUGUUGCGCCUGCUGUGAAAACGCGGGGCUUAACUUCGCGCGUGCAGUGGGUACGGGCAGGCUUGAGUGUGGUAGGGGUGACUGGAAUUCCAGGUGUAGCGGUGGAAUGCGCAGAUAUCUGGAGGAACACCGAUGGCGAAGGCAGGUCACUGGGCCAUUACUGACGCUGAGGAGCGAAAGCAUGGGUAGCGAACAGG